This 238-nucleotide ribosomal RNA is filed under the name uncultured Lactobacillus sp. Its description in RNAcentral is "partial 16S ribosomal RNA". It matches the Rfam family "Bacterial small subunit ribosomal RNA", at positions 125 to 354 of the family's 1533-position model. Lineage: Bacteria; Bacillati; Bacillota; Bacilli; Lactobacillales; Lactobacillaceae. The record is from RNAcentral.
CCGUGCCCAAGAGAUCGGGAUAACACCUGGAAACAGAUGCUAAUACCGGAUAACAACAGAUGAUGCCUAUCAACUGUUUAAAAGAUGGUUCUGCUAUCACUCUUGGAUGGACCUGCGGUGCAUUAGCUAGCUGGUAGGGUAACGGCCUACCAAGGCGAUGAUGCAUAGCCGAGUUGAGAGACUGAUCGGCCACAUUGGGACUGAGACACGGCCCAAACUCCUACGGGAGGCAGCAGGC